RNAcentral lists this transfer RNA (76 nucleotides) under Myxococcales bacterium. RNAcentral's name for it is "tRNA-Gly". It matches the Rfam family "tRNA". From Rfam's summary of the family: Transfer RNA (tRNA) molecules are approximately 80 nucleotides in length. RNAcentral also lists the same sequence under 1 other name. Lineage: Bacteria; Pseudomonadati; Myxococcota; Myxococcia; Myxococcales. The record is from RNAcentral.
GCGGCUGUAGCUCAGUUGGUAGAGCGUCAGCUUCCCAAGCUGAAUGUCGAGAGUUCGAGUCUCUUCAGCCGCUCCA